This 450-nucleotide ribosomal RNA is filed under the name uncultured bacterium. RNAcentral describes it as "partial 16S ribosomal RNA". It matches the Rfam family "Bacterial small subunit ribosomal RNA", at positions 28 to 506 of the family's 1533-position model. The record is from RNAcentral.
AGCGAACGCUGGCGGCAUGCCUAACACAUGCAAGUCGCACGGGGGGGCUUCGGCCUCCCAGUGGCGGACGGGUGAGGAACGCGUAGGGACCUGUCGAGGGGUGGGGGAUAACCGCGGGAAACUGCGGCUAAUACCGCAUGACGCCGCGGCGUGACAGCCGGGGCCAAAGGCGAAAGCCGCCCGCCGAGGGGCCUGCGUCCGAUUAGCUGGUUGGCGGGGUAGCGGCCCACCAAGGCGUCGAUCGGUAGCUGGUCUGAGAGGGUGAUCAGCCACACCGGGACUGAGACACGGCCCGGACUCCUAUGGGAGGCAGCAGUGGGGAAUAUUGGACAAUGGGCGCAAGCCUGAUCCAGCAAUGCCGCGUGGGUGAAGAAGGUCUUCGGAUUGUAAAGCCCUUUCGGCGGGGACGAUGGUGACGGUACCCGCAGAAGAAGCCCCGGCUAACUUCGU